AAGUCGUAACAAGGUUUCCGUAGGUGAACCUGCGGAAGGAUCAUUACAGUGUUUUCUACCCUGAAAAGGGUUAGAACUCCACCCUUGCAUACUACAGUUUGUUGCUUUGGCGGGCCACGAGGCCUAGCCACGCCCCGGCUUCGGCGGGGGAGUGCCCGCCAGAGGACCCCAAACCCUGAAUGUUAGUGUCGUCUGAGUACUAUAUAAUAGUUAAAACUUUCAACAACGGAUCUCUUGGUUCUGGCAUCGAUGAAGAACGCAGCGAAAUGCGAUAAGUAAUGUGAAUUGCAGAAUUCAGUGAAUCAUCGAAUCUUUGAACGCACAUUGCGCCCCUUGAUAUUCCGAGGGGCAUGCCUGUUCGAGCGUCAUAAUAGCCAAUCCAGCUCGCUGGGUCUUGGGCACCGCCGGAAGGCGGGCCUCAAACACAGUGGCGGUACGGCCGGGCUCUAAGCGUAGUAAAUUAUCUCGCUAUAGGGUCCCGGGCGGCACCUGCCAGCAACCCCCCCCCCCCCAUUUAUCAGGUUGACCUCGGAUCAGGUAGGGAUACCCGCUGAACUUAAGCAUAUCAAUAAGCGGAGGAAAAGAAACCAACAGGGAUUACCUCAGUAACGGCGAGUGAAGCGGUAACAGCUCAAAUUUGAAAUCUGGCUCUUUUAGGGUCCGAGUUGUAAUUUGUAGAAGAUGCUUUGGGUGUGGCUCCGGUCUAAGUUCCUUGGAACAGGACGUCAUAGAGGGUGAGAAUCCCGUAUGUGAUCGGUUGCUUUCGCCCGUGUAAAGCUCUUUCGACGAGUCGAGUUGUUUGGGAAUGCAGCUCAAAAUGGGUGGUAUAUUUCAUCUAAAGCUAAAUAUUGGCCAGAGACCGAUAGCGCACAAGUAGAGUGAUCGAAAGAUGAAAAGCACUUUGGAAAGAGAGUUAAACAGUACGUGAAAUUGUUGAAAGGGAAGCGCUUGCAACCAGACUCGCGCGCCGUCGAUCAUCCGGGGUUCUCCCCGGUGCACUCGGCGGCGCUCGGGCCAGCAUCAGUUUCGGUGGUGGGAUAAAGGCCUUGGGAAUGUAGCUUCUUUCGGGGAGUGUUAUAGCCCUCGGUGCAAUGCCGCCUACCGGGACUGAGGACCGCGCUUCGGCUAGGAUGCUGGCGUAAUAGUUGUAAGCGACC
Molecule: ribosomal RNA, 1157 nt
Filed under: uncultured fungus
Lineage: Eukaryota; Fungi
Description: eukaryotic LSU rRNA
Rfam family: Eukaryotic large subunit ribosomal RNA (bases 524-1157)
Source: RNAcentral